GAGAGAAUAGUUUUCAGUUGAAUCAACUGCCUGGUGCUACUAACAGAGAAAAGGGAACAAGGACCAGUGGAGGCCAGAUCCUCAACAACUUCAAGGAAGCAAGCAAAUAAAGGGUGGAUUCCUUUUUAGAGGGACUGCCAUGUGGUCCUAAAGGAGAACACAUCCUCCCAACAGGAAGACUUUGUUUUCUCUCAUUUUUAUUCUCUGUUUGACUUUUCAGAAGUAUAAUCUGUCACUUGUGAGAACAUAAAGAAUUGGACUGGAAGUGUUCCAGACUCUUUACUCUUGUUAUUGACUUUGGCAAUACUGUGAAUGACACUGAACAGUUGAGAUGACAUUACAGUUCUGGGCUGGGCUUUGCUCUUACAGCUUGGAAGUUAAUUCUUCAUUUUCAUCUUAAAUCAGCCACACAAAAUAGAGG
This is a non-coding RNA of Anas platyrhynchos (mallard), 421 nucleotides long. The record is from RefSeq and is a predicted model, not a curated record. Lineage: Eukaryota; Metazoa; Chordata; Aves; Anseriformes; Anatidae.